UUUCCCUGUUACUUCAUAGCAGCCUGGUGUCAAAAUGUCUGCAGCACGGACAGAUGGGAGGACAGACAGAAACACCAGCUGUUACUCAGCUGGGUACCAAAUUUCCAAUGGCAUGGCCUAAAGCAGAAAGUGUUGGCAGGACCAGUUUUUGAGUGCCCAGUGAUCAUGGCCCAGAUUUAUUCUAUGUAAAUUGCACCAUGUUCUUCAGGAUGCCUUACUAGAGAGGAAUAUGCACAUUCUAGCUGAGGGAUGAAUCACUCUAAAAAUUCUUAUAUUUCUAUGCUAAAUGCACUUAAAGUAGAUUCCUUACACAGAUGUGAUUCAUCUGGGUUGAUAACUUUUUCUUAGAGCAGUUAUUGCUCCAGAAAUGGUUCGUGCCUUUUUUUUUUUUUUUUUUGGUGGCAUUUUUUAUCAUUGUUAAAUCUUUCUUUUCUUUUGCUCUUGCUAUCUAACUAUAUAUUAUUUAUAUAUUCUUCAGGAGAGACCCUUUGAGAAUAGUUGUUUCCAUCACCCAUAGGGAACCACCAACCAGACUUUUCCUGUCAUCAUUUCCCAUUUCUGAUGCUACUGCUCUGCCAUUUCCACUGCAACCAAGAUAACAGAAGAGAUGGUCAUGUGACAAGUGCAUCAAAUACACUCAGUGCAAGGCCCUGGUCCUCACGGGGGAUUUUAACUACCCUGAUGUCUGGUGGAAGGACAACACAGCAGGGCACAAACAAUCCUGGAAGUUUCUGGAGUGCAUUGAUGACAACUCCCUAACACAGGCAACUGAGGACAUAAUGAGGAAAACAACUCUGCUGAACCUCAUGUCUGCAAAGAGGAAGAACUGAUUGGAGAUGUGAAGGUCAGGGGAAGCUUGUUAUAGUAAAACUAGGUAGCUGGCCAUGGCCCUGAUCAAGGUGAUCUUGCUGUCCCUGCUCUGAGCCAGAGGUCUAGACUAGCUGAUCUCCAGAAGUCUUUUCCAACCCCAGUGAUUCUGUGAUCUUUAGCCUUAGGAUAACACUUCUCCCAAGCUCUCUUUCCUAUAAAAUUCUGGGAACUAUCUAAAACACAACAUGUACUGUUCCAGUCCUGUCUUGAAAAUUACAGGGAUAAUUCUCAGGAGUUAUUUCAACAUUUGUAAAAUGUAGUUUAAUCUGUCAAUGACAGUAUAUUUUAUAGGUCUGUCAGAAUAAAUGUAGUCAAAUAUGUUGUCUUAAUAACUCCAAUAAAAACCUCCACAAAACCAAAUAUGACCAGAGAAGAAAAUCAGACAGUAACCAACAGUUCUAAAGGAUUCAAGGAAAUAAAGACAUCAUCUGAUCCA
Long non-coding RNA from Cygnus olor (mute swan), 1306 nucleotides. RefSeq lists it as uncharacterized. Lineage: Eukaryota; Metazoa; Chordata; Aves; Anseriformes; Anatidae. The record is from RefSeq and is a predicted model, not a curated record. The transcript has 2 exons.